Molecule: long non-coding RNA, 214 nt
Filed under: Elaeis guineensis (African oil palm)
Lineage: Eukaryota; Viridiplantae; Streptophyta; Magnoliopsida; Arecales; Arecaceae
Description: long non-coding RNA (EGUI_LNC046607)
Source: RNAcentral
AACUGUCAGAGUCUCUACUCAUGAUGAUCUCCGAAUAGGUCAAGAAAACACCAUUCUCAAUGAUGUAUGGUGUAUCGUCAUUCUCAAUAACAAACCAUAUUUGAGUGGUAUAUUACACACUCGAAUUGACCUUUGGUGAGGAGGUGUGUUUCAUGAUUGUACCUCAUCAAUGAGCACAUCUGAUUAAGAAUCAACUUGUGAAUACUCUACAGGU